RNAcentral lists this transfer RNA (69 nucleotides) under Marmota monax (woodchuck). RNAcentral's name for it is "tRNA.Ala". Lineage: Eukaryota; Metazoa; Chordata; Mammalia; Rodentia; Sciuridae. The record is from RNAcentral.
GGAUUGUGGCUCAGUGGUAGAGCGCCUGCCUAGCAUGGGCAGGGGGACCCGGUUCGAUUCUCAGCACCA